This 506-nucleotide ribosomal RNA is filed under the name uncultured bacterium. Its description in RNAcentral is "partial 16S ribosomal RNA". It matches the Rfam family "Bacterial small subunit ribosomal RNA", at positions 29 to 523 of the family's 1533-position model. The record is from RNAcentral.
AGUGAACGCUGGCGGUAGGCCUAACACAUGCAAGUCGAACGGCAGCACAGAGGAGCUUGCUCCUUGGGUGGCGAGUGGCGGACGGGUGAGGAAUACAUCGGAAUCUACUCUGUCGUGGGGGAUAACGUAGGGAAACUUACGCUAGUACCGCAUACGACCUACGGGUGAAAGCAGGGGAUCUUCGGACCUUGCGCGAUUGAAUGAGCCGAUGUCGGAUUAGCUAGUUGGCGGGGUAAAGGCCCACCAAGGCGACGAUCCGUAGCUGGUCUGAGAGGAUGAUCAGCCACACUGGAACUGAGGCACGGUCCAUACUCCUACGGGAGGCAGCAGUGGGGAAUAUUGGACAAUGGGCGCAAGCGUGAUCCAGCCAUACCGCGUGGGUGAAGAAGGCCUUCGGGUUGUAAAGCCCUUUUGUUGGGAAAGAAAUCCAUCUGGUUAAUACCCGGUUGGGAUGACGGUACCCAAAGAAUAAGCACCGGCUAACUUCGUGCCAGCCGCCGCGGUAA